UUUAUGGUGUAGUGGUUAGCAGUCUGGACUUUGAAUCUAGCGACCUGGGUUCGACCCCCAUUAGGACAU
Molecule: non-coding RNA, 69 nt
Organism: Datura stramonium (jimsonweed)
Lineage: Eukaryota; Viridiplantae; Streptophyta; Magnoliopsida; Solanales; Solanaceae
Source: the annotation of a GenBank genome assembly